Molecule: long non-coding RNA, 1749 nt
Organism: Rhincodon typus (whale shark)
Lineage: Eukaryota; Metazoa; Chordata; Chondrichthyes; Orectolobiformes; Rhincodontidae
Exons: 4
Source: RefSeq, a predicted model, not a curated record
AAUGGCUCCCUGAUUCUCAUGCGAUCAUUAGGAUUUGGCAAAUGUGUGCUAUAAAUACAAGAUGCUAUGCACAGCCUGAUGCCUGCACCUAUGCCAGCAUUAUAAUCACCCACAGCAGGAAAGAACAUUCUCCAUCAGUUCAAAGCAGCAGGAACUUCACAGUUGCUGAUUCUGAAGUGGAUGUAAUCUAUGCAGCUGUUGUGAGCACACAUUAGGAUUGAGUGUUUACAACUGAGGCUGCACUGUUCCCCAGAUCAAAGUCAAGGAGCAUCAUUGGAUUCACCAGCUUCUAAACCUGACAUAGUUAUUCUAUGAAAAUAAUUUUAUAGGUAUCUCUAUUUAACUGUGUUAAUACAUUUAUAAAUGCAAAUGAGUCUAAACACUUUAAAUGUAUCUAAUAUGUUCUGUCAAUCUGUAUGCCUGUGCCUACAUCUGUAAUAGGGCAGUAUUCGUUGUGCAUCCAGUUUACCUGAAGAUGAUGUGUUGGAUGGCUUCUUAUUACAUGACCUCAAAAGGCAGCUAGAUAACAAAAUGACAUGAUAUUCUCCAGUAUAACUUUAGUAUUCUUAGUAUUGUUAAGGAUUACCUGUUCAUAGAUUCUUUGUUUUCUCCAAAAAUACUGUAAAAGCAGAAAAUGGUUUCAGCUGUGAAGCACCAUCCAAGUUGCCAUUACAUACGAACUCAGCUCAGCUCUUUCUUUUUAAAAGAAACAAAACUGAAGACUUCAAUCUUUGAAGCAGUGCCAAUGAGAACAAAAAGAAAAGCAUUGUACUUGUUGUUGCAACUUCUAAAGAGCAGUACAGUAAGGAUAGAAAGCAAACAUCUGAACAUGGAUUGGCAGUCAAGUGACACUGUUAGAAUUUAAGUUAUUCAAAGGAAGAAUGAAUCUUCACUUCUUAGAUCAAUAAAUAGCUGAAAACAUAAGACAGGCAGUCAAACUUCUUCCUGGUUUGGGAAAUGAAAGAUCAUGAAAAAUGAAAUCCUCAGUGUUCCUAGAGAUUACCACAAAGAUCCUGACAAUAUUUCUAAUUUUAGAAGAUCAGUUUUUAAGAUUUAAGUCAACUUCUGGAUUUGUAGAUUUUGAGCUGAUGUCAUAUUGUCAGCAGUGAAGUGAAAACAAAUUAAUUGGCAGAUUUCGAUGCAAAGGCACAGAAUGAAACUUCCAUGAAAGGCUCAUGGAACUGGCCAUUGCCUCUGUUUGCAAAAGCAGUCAGAAUGGUCAGUAGCAUCUGUAGGUGCUUGACUGUUGUUUUGAUGGCUGAAAUUGUUGUCCCAGAUCAUCAAUAUCACCUAACCUUGUACAAGAUGGAGAGUAUCUCUUCCACCAAAAGCACGUCCAGCAUCUUGUACACAUACGUGUACAGGCUAUGUUCUACAAGAGGACAUUGGGCUAAAACAAGCAGAAAGAAACCCAGAGUGCAACACAAUUCUCCAGAGCGUGUGAGGAAGAGCCAACCAAACAGCAAUGCCAAAGAUGUUUCCAAACCCUGUCCAUGGCAAGUAAGCAUAUUGUCAAAGUCCAAGAGGUAACAACAGCAUUACAGUUUACAGACCCCAGUCAGGCAGUACAUGUGGUCAAUUUGAUACACCACGUGGAUGCCAUCAGAAAUAUUGAAACUGUUACCUUCAUCCAAAUGAUAUACCCUAAAACUAUAAUGCCUAGUAUGUGUUAUAGCAUGCGAAAGAUGGUAGCAGAAUAGUAGUGCUGCACUUGAGCUCCGGAGCACAUUCACUUCCAUCUGCUUUUUU